UUCGCCCUUAGAGUUUGAUCCUGGUUCAGGAUGAACGCUAGCUACAGGCUUAACACAUGCAAGUCGAGGGGCAGCAUUUUAGUUUGCUUGCAAACUGAAGAUGGCGACCGGCGCACGGGUGAGUAACACGUAUCCAACCUGCCGAUAACUCCGGGAUAGCCUUUCGAAAGAAAGAUUAAUACCGGAUAGCAUACGAAUAUCGCAUGAUAUUUUUAUUAAAGAAUUUCGGUUAUCGAUGGGGAUGCGUUCCAUUAGUUUGUUGGCGGGGUAACGGCCCACCAAGACAACGAUGGAUAGGGGUUCUGAGAGGAAGGUCCCCCACAUUGGAACUGAGACACGGUCCAAACUCCUACGGGAGGCAGCAGUGAGGAAUAUUGGUCAAUGGGCGAGAGCCUGAACCAGCCAAGUAGCGUGAAGGAUGAAGGCUCUAUGGGUCGUAAACUUCUUUUAUAUGGGAAUAAAGUAUUCCACGUGUGGAAUUUUGUAUGUACCAUAUGAAUAAGGAUCGGCUAACUCCGUGCCAGCAGCCGCGGUAAUACGGAGGAUCCGAGCGUUAUCCGGAUUUAUUGGGUUUAAAGGGAGCGUAGGUGGAUUGUUAAGUCAGUUGUGAAAGUUUGCGGCUCAACCGUAAAAUUGCAGUUGAAACUGGCAGUCUUGAGUACAGUAGAGGUGGGCGGAAUUCGUGGUGUAGCGGUGAAAUGCUUAGAUAUCACGAAGAACUCCGAUUGCGAAGGCAGCUCACUAGACUGUCACUGACACUGAUGCUCGAAAGUGUGGGUAUCAAACAGGAUUAGAUACCCUGGUAGUCCACACAGUAAACGAUGAAUACUCGCUGUUUGCGAUAUACAGUAAGCGGCC
RNAcentral lists this ribosomal RNA (858 nucleotides) under uncultured bacterium. RNAcentral's name for it is "bacterial SSU rRNA". It matches the Rfam family "Bacterial small subunit ribosomal RNA", at positions 1 to 848 of the family's 1533-position model. The record is from RNAcentral.